AAGUCGUAACAAGGUUUCCGUAGGUGAACCUGCGGAAGGAUCAUUAUAAAAUGCUUAAAAGCAUCCACCUUUUGUGCACUUGACCAUUGUACCCUUUGGCGUGGUUUCGACAUUGGCUCUCGAGUCUUUGUCGACUUCCACUCGGGUCGAGCAUGCAGACUCUCUUCGGAGGGAAUGUGUGUUCCUCCUGGGCGCAGAAGCGGCCCGCCAAAGUUUUUAACAAACCUACUUGAACCUUUGCCUGAAAAUACUUAUUUCCUGUGAAAUAAAAAUCUUAAUAAAAACAACUUUUAACAACGGAUCUCUUGGCUCUCC
Molecule: unclassified non-coding RNA, 315 nt
Filed under: fungal sp.
Lineage: Eukaryota; Fungi
Description: partial internal transcribed spacer region
Rfam family: Eukaryotic small subunit ribosomal RNA (bases 1-46)
Source: RNAcentral